This 446-nucleotide ribosomal RNA is filed under the name uncultured bacterium. RNAcentral's name for it is "partial 16S ribosomal RNA". It matches the Rfam family "Bacterial small subunit ribosomal RNA", at positions 338 to 795 of the family's 1533-position model. The record is from RNAcentral.
CCUACGGGUGGCUGCAGUCGAGAAUCAUUCACAAUGGGGGAAACCCUGAUGGUGCGACGCCGCGUGGGGGAAUGAAGGUCUUCGGAUUGUAAACCCCUGUUAUGUGGGAGCAAAUUAAAAAGAUAGUACCACAAGAGGAAGAGACGGCUAACUCUGUGCCAGCAGCCGCGGUAAUACAGAGGUCUCAAGCGUUAUUCGGAAUCACUGGGCGUAAAGCGUGCGUAGGCUGUUUCGUAAGUCGUGUGUGAAAGGCGCGGGCUCAACCCGCGGACGGCACAUGAUACUGCGAGACUAGAGUAAGGGAGGGGGAACCGGAAUUCUCGGUGUAGCAGUGAAAUGCGUAGAUAUCGAGAGGAACACUCGUGGCGAAGGCGGGUUCCUGGACAUUAACUGACGCUGAGGCACGAAGGCCAGGGGAGCGAAAGGGAUUAGAUACCCCUGUAGUC